RNAcentral lists this long non-coding RNA (3056 nucleotides) under Homo sapiens (human). Its description in RNAcentral is "HSALNT0139063". Lineage: Eukaryota; Metazoa; Chordata; Mammalia; Primates; Hominidae. The record is from RNAcentral.
CUUUCAUUUCCUUAAACAAGGUUUAAGUGAGACUGACAUAAAAACAAAGAAACAAAACAUGUUAGGACCAUAAGUAAAACAGUGUAUUUAAGUAAUAUAAGCUAGUAUCACUGUCUUUAAAAAACCCAAAAUACGUAUUUUUCAAUUUCAAUUUUAUGCUACUAGUGUCAGAUGCUGUAUUACUUGGGAUGUUAUAGAGAGAUUUGUAUAUCUAGUCCCACCCCUCUCUGAGUUAACAAUUUAAGUUGGAUCAGGAGACACAGAGAGGGAAAAAGAGAGGGAGAAAGAGAGAGGUGUGUGUGCGUGUGUGUGUUAUCAUAUGUACCAACAGUGGAGUUGAGAAAUUGAGAGAUCAGAAAAUUAAGUUCCAUCUUUAAACUAAAAGGGAAUCUGUCUAAUGAGAGAUGAAUGAAGCCCCCAAUUGCUUUUUUUUAAAUGAAUAUUACUCAUUUUAUUUUUCCUCUGUUAUUUUAUUCUCUCUUUAUUGUCUAUCCCUCUCAUUUCUUUCUUCUUAUUUUAUGUAGAUACACAGCAGGGGAUCAGUGUAUUCUUCCCAAAGUUUACUUUCACAAAAAGUAAAUAAAAAUUUGAAAAGUAAACAGAUCAUCAGAUUAGAAUUUAAGGGUUGUUAAAAUACUUCAAAGACUACUUAUAUGGAAAGUUUAAAGAAUAUAUAUUGUUUAUCAGAGAUGGAAAAGAUGACGAGUAACUCCAUUCUAUGCGUACUUCAUUUUAGGUCAAUGGCGAACAUUUUCUACACUUUAAUGGCAGCAUAACAAAGAAGACAUCUAAGGAAUUUUACUCAUCAGUGUGGAGUAAUGGGCAGGCGUAUUGAAAUGGUCUCUGGAGUAAUGAGCAGGCAUAUUGAAAUGGUCUCUUUUUAUUUUUUUAAUAUGAACACUCAACUUGUGCCUUUUUUUCUUUCUUGUCUUUGUAAAUAUAGAUACUUGCAGGGGCCUUCCUUUUUGCUAUUUCCCUCCCAUUUUCCCCUUCACACUAUCUUCUUUCCUUAGUUUUUCCUUCUUUCUAUUCUGGGAAAUGAGGAUUUGACAAAUGAAAUAUGAAAAUAUAGUUUUUGAAGAAAGAACAACUGUUCUUCUUCAACCAAGAAUAAAUCAAGUUUUCGGUUUGGGGGUUGGCAGGGGGUUAGCUGACCAUGUAAUGCUGAUGGGCAAGGUCAGGGGGAGACUAACCCUGGAGAGUUGCCCCUGAGAGAGAAACCACUUCUCAGUGGCCACAUGAUGAGUAAGUAAGGGAAACUCCUCAGGUUCCCAGAAGUCUAUCUGAGCACAGCACUCAUCAGCCAAAAGCCCUUUGGUGAGUAGCAGUAUGGCUUCACUCUCUUCUAUAGACGGUGACUAGAUCUUCUCUCUCUCUCACUCUUUCUCUCUCUCUCCCCCGCCCUCUACUGCUUUUCUUUUUUAAAUUUUCUUUCUCUCUGACCUAAACUGAUGCCUAGGUGAAAGCUUGACUCUCUUGUACCACAUUUAUUCUGCUAUCUCAUACUUUUAGUCAUAAAGUCACCUUUGUGUGGUGUUCAGCAGAAAAACAGCAAGAUUGAUCCAAGUAAAUUAGAAUGUCCAGAGUUCACUGCUGAGAAAUUUAAAUUAUUACUUUCAUAUAGAGUUAAAAGAAUAAACUGCUGAGGAACUUUGACAUCUCUUCUUAUGUAAUUUUUUCAACAUUAGAAAGUGAACUUGUACAUGAAAGUAUAAAUUCGACAACUCCCAGACUUCCUUUAACUCUAUGAUUUCAUGGACACGGAUUUGAUAUGGACAGGAGGCAGGGAAAUCCUGGGUAGAAGUGGGCAGGGUCCCUGGCGAGGGUUCCACCUCAAGACCCUAAAUGAGAACUUCACACCCCUGUUUUCCUGCCCAAAGGUUGCCUUUGGACCCUCCACAUACCCCACCCUGUAAACAUACAAACCCCAAGUUCCACUGGCAGAGAAGCAGAGUAGCAUGGCAGAGAAGGAGAGAAGAGAAGAAGCAUAUGAAUAUUGAAAGGAGAAGAGGCAACUUAACACCAGAGACUACAGUCAGAAAGGAGUUCCUCCAGGGAUGGUCAGAGAAGAUUUCGUCCAGGGAUGGCUGAACUCCAGGGGAAGAUUAUCUUCCCACUCCAUCCCCUUUCCAGCUCCCCAACCUGCUGAGAGCCACUUCCACAGCUCAAUAAAUCUCUGCAUUCACCAUCUUUCAGGUUCAUGUGACCUGAUUCUUCCUGGAUGCUAGACAAGAACCCGGUUACCAGAGGGCAUGGAGUGAAAGGAUGUCACCCUAGCCCUCCACUCAACUGGUUAACACUUAGCUGUCCAUAGACAGAAAAUGCUAAAAAGCAUUGUUUGUAACACUUGCCUUCUGGGGCUUCAGAGGUCAUGUGCAACCCCUGGAUGCUGCCACAGGCUGGUACAAGGUAUGUUUCUGCUGUCGCCCGAAGGCAUUCGCCCCAGCUCCUCCACCUGCUCAACUGUAUGCUCACCCUUCCACAAGGGGUUUGAGCCACCGCUGUCUCAAGUCCCUCAAGGGCGUCAAGGGAACUCUCACAUCUCAGAUUCUAAAUUAAUACCACUCAACAGAAAAUUUCAACAAUAUAGGAUUCAUCUACCAUGAAGCAUGUAUCUGUAAUGAAUAUGAAAUAGUUGAGAUUGCCUGAGUGGCCACUUUCUCACAUGCUUCCAAAAAAUUUUGUAUGCUUUUAAACUUCAAAAUAAUUAUGAUGCUACUUCCUCAUUUUUCUAGCAAAUUCUUGGAUGAUAUUUAUGUCCUUUUACAUUUGAAAGUUAUAACCACAGACUUGAGAUAAACGAAUAAGAUAGUGCAUCUAGUUGUAAGCCUAUAUAAAAGUACAUUAUAAACGACAGGGAAGAUAUUUGAGUAGAUAAGGGCAAGCCUGGAAAGAAGGACAUUUAAGCUUUCAUCCCAAUUUGACCAUCAAUUAUAGAGACAUACGCAACUUUGAAAUUGCUUUCCUUGAUAGUGAAAUAAUAGAUACACUGCAAAUGUCUAUAUAUUUGACAUAUUAUUUAAUUUAUAAAAUAUCUUUUGAUAUCUUUGAAACUG